Non-coding RNA from Crucibulum laeve, 106 nucleotides. Lineage: Eukaryota; Fungi; Basidiomycota; Agaricomycetes; Agaricales; Nidulariaceae. The record is from the annotation of a GenBank genome assembly.
GGCCGACUAGCUCAGCUGGUUAGAGCGUCGUGCUAAUAUAAUACAUCAAAUUGAUCUAUUAUAAAUAUUAACGCGAAGGUCUUGGGUUCGAUCCCCACGUUGGCCA